CAAGUCGAGGGGUAACAGGGAGCUUGCUUCGCUGACGACCGGCGCACGGGUGCGUAACGCGUAUAGAACCUACCUUUUACAGGGGAAUAGGCCUUUUAGAGAUGAAGAUUAAUGCCCCCAUAGUAUUGUAGACUGGCAUCAGUUUAUAAUUAAAGAUUUAUCGGUAAAAGAUGGCUAUGCGUCCUAUUAGUUAGUUGGUAAGGUAACGGCUUACCAAGACAUCGAUAGGUAGGGGUCCUGAGAGGGAGAUCCCCCACACUGGUACUGAGACACGGACCAGACUCC
This 285-nucleotide ribosomal RNA is filed under the name unidentified marine bacterioplankton. Its description in RNAcentral is "partial 16S ribosomal RNA". It matches the Rfam family "Bacterial small subunit ribosomal RNA", at positions 58 to 339 of the family's 1533-position model. The record is from RNAcentral.